CUACUAUUAUUUCUAUUGCAACUAUUAUUGUUACUACUACUUCUAUUGUCAACUACUAUUACAAAAUUAUAGAGUGGGCAUUAAGGACAUAAAAAUCCUUCUACAUAAUUGAACUGAGUUUUGAAUAUUGUGUUCCAAUUGUUUAUUUUUGUUAGAUCAUAGAAGUUACUGUUGGUAAAAUGGUUCCACAUCUAGAAUUUUCAACCUUUGCUAUAUUAUGAGCUGCUAGAAACCAGGAACCAUCUUGUACUUGUCUGUAUUUUCCUUGGUUCCUAGCACUAUGCUCUAUUUGUCAGACCUAGAAAUGUUGAUUGAAUUUGUUGAACUUUAUCAACAAAGCUUCUUCAGAGACAAGUUAACAAUCAUGAUGUCACCCUAAAGAUGACAGGCCAUUUGGCUUUGUGUAUUUCCUUGGCGAACAAAGCAACACCAGAUACUAUGGUGUUGAUGUUAAAGAGCCUAAUCCCUUGAGGUUUUCUCCCCAUCAGGCAGCCUCUUGCUUUCUGAACCUCUUUGAUUAUUGGAUCCUCAAGUUCUAUGUCCCAUCAUUACUGACAGCUUGACAAACCCUCUUCAUUUGCAUUUGCUAUGCUGUAGCUCACCCAUGGGGAGACCUCUGAAAAUCCCCACCUUCCAUCCUGUCUGUGCAACUUGUUUCCUUCAUGGAUGUUUUUGCUCUCUUCAGAGAAAGCACACGUUCCCUUUCAGGGAAAGACUUUUUCAAGAGAUUUAACUGCUCUUGUUAAACUGAGACCCAUUCCCCUACUCAUGGAGUAAGGGUAUCCCUGUUUUACCCUUUGGCGCAUUUUCUCUUCUGAUUCUGAAGAAGGUCCAUGUUCCUUCACAGACCCAGGAGUUCUGAUGGCAGCAGCUUUGGCAUUGCCUUCUCUUCUGCCAAACAUCUAACCUUAUCCAGACUUGAGACUUCAGUUCCUUCCUGCUUCAUGUGAAAACACUACCAGCAAGGCCAAUAAUCUUUUCAGUAUGUCCUGUUUUGAAGACUGAAAAGGAAAACCUCAUUGAAUAUUACUCAUUGCUUAUUUUUGCAAUCCUCAUGCACCAUUCAGAAUUUUCUUAAACAGAUUAAAAUGUUUGUGGCAUACCAUGAAUACAGACUUUAGUCAUUAUUCUCUGUCUUCCUCUUUUGAACAUUAGGAAAAUACUUCAGUUUUCUAUAUCAACCAAUGCUUUUGUGAAUGAGAAAGAACAGGGAUAGUGAUUUUUCACUAACUUCUCACAUUUUGUUGUAUAAUCUUUAAUAAAUAAUUUUAGUGGUGGCUUGUGUUAAUAUUAGACAGUUUUUUUGUCUAAGAAGUAUAAUCACAGUACUACAUUUUAUAAUUUUGAUUUCUAUUGUAUAUUCUUAAAAUGAAAAGCCUUGUUUUAAAGAACACUUUGAGUCUGAAGCCUUUAUAUGGAUGUCUAAUGGAUUUUAAUGUGCUAAAAUGCAGUUCAUCUCUCAAUUGUAAAUAAUUCUUUUUAGGUUUUUCACAGACACUCUAUAAGAAAGUCUACAAGAAACAUGUGAUGUUUAAAUAAAUUUAUUGUAAUGGGAAGAUAUGAGCAUGAUUACGUUAUGUAUAUCAUUCUAACCAUUUUUUUUUGUAU
Long non-coding RNA from Phascolarctos cinereus (koala), 1608 nucleotides. RefSeq lists it as uncharacterized. NCBI's taxonomy places the organism in Eukaryota, Metazoa, Chordata, Mammalia, Diprotodontia, Phascolarctidae. The record is from RefSeq and is a predicted model, not a curated record.